AAGAGACAGCAGCAGCCGCGGGAAUACGGAGGGUGCAAGCGUUAAUCGGAAUUACUGGGCGUAAAGCGCACGCAGGCGGUCUGACAAGUCAGAUGUGAAAUCCCCGGGCUUAACCUGGGAACUGCAUUUGAAACUGUCAGGCUGGAGUCUUGUAGAGGGGGGUAGAAUUCCAGGUGUAGCGGUGAAAUGCGUAGAGAUCUGGAGGAAUACCGGUGGCGAAGGCGGCCCCCUGGACAAAGACUGACGCUCAGGUGCGAAAGCGUGGGGAGCAAACAGGAUUAGAUACCCGCGUAGUCCCUGUCUCUUAUAA
Molecule: ribosomal RNA, 310 nt
Filed under: uncultured bacterium
Lineage: Bacteria
Description: partial 16S ribosomal RNA
Rfam family: Bacterial small subunit ribosomal RNA
Source: RNAcentral